This 916-nucleotide ribosomal RNA is filed under the name uncultured archaeon. RNAcentral's name for it is "SSU rRNA". It matches the Rfam family "Archaeal small subunit ribosomal RNA", at positions 1 to 923 of the family's 1478-position model. The record is from RNAcentral.
UUCCGGUUGAUCCCGCCGGAGGCUACCGCUAUUGGAGUUCGAUUAAGCCAUGCGAGUCGCGAGUCUUAGGGACUCGGCGUACCGCUCAGUAACACGUGGGUAACCUGCCCUAUGCUGGGGGAUAACCUCGGGAAACUGAGAAUAAUACCCCAUAGUUCACCACGCCUGGAACGGUGGGUGGAUGAAAGCUCCGGCGGCAUAGGAUGGGCCUGCGGCGUAUCAGGUUGUAGGGGGUGUAAUGUACCCUCUAGCCAUCUACGCGUACGGGUGUUGGGAGACAUCGCCCGGAGAUGGAUUCUGAGACACGAAUCCAGACCCUACGGGGUGCAGCAGGCGCGAAAACUUGGCAAUGCGAGAAAUCGUGACCAGGGAACUCCAAGUGCAUCGGGUAAGACCGAUGCUUUUCUUGACUCUUCAAAGGUCUUGGAAUAAGGGGUGGGUAAGGACGGUGCCAGCCGCCGCGGUAAUACCGGCGCCUCAAGUGGUAGUCGCUUUUAUUGGGCCUAAAACGUCCGUAGCCGGUUUGGUACAUUCGUGGGUAAAUCAAGGCGCUCAACGUCUUGAAUUCUGCGAGCACGGCCAGACUUGGGACCGGGUGAGGUGUGGGGUACUCUCAGGGUAGGGGUAAAAUCCUGUCAUCCUGAGAGGACCACCUGUUGCGAAGGCGCCACACUAGAACGGAUCCGACGGUCAGGGACGAAGCCUAGGGGCACGAACCGGAUUAGAUACCCGGGUAGUCCUAGGUGUAAACGCUGUGGACUUGAUGUUGGGAGUGCUCCGAGCACCCUCAGUGUCGAAGCGAAGGUGAUAAGUCCACUGCCUGGGGAGUACGGUCGCAAGGCUGAAACUUAAAGGAAUUGGCGGGGGAGCACUGCAACCUGAGGAUUGUGCGGUUUAAUUGGAUUCAACGCCGGGA